Molecule: ribosomal RNA, 150 nt
Filed under: uncultured Aeromonas sp.
Lineage: Bacteria; Pseudomonadati; Pseudomonadota; Gammaproteobacteria; Aeromonadales; Aeromonadaceae
Description: partial 16S ribosomal RNA
Rfam family: Bacterial small subunit ribosomal RNA
Source: RNAcentral
CCUGAUGCAGCCAUGCCGCGUGUGUGAAGAAGGCCUUCGGGUUGUAAAGCACUUUCAGCGAGGAGGAAAGGUCAGUAGCUAAUAUCUGCUGGCUGUGACGUUACUCGCAGAAGAAGCACCGGCUAACUCCGUGCCAGCAGCCGCGGUAAU